GCCGCGCCUCGGAAUGGGGUCGGAGGGGGACAGUGGAGACCCGAUUAAUCCAAGUCUUUAACCCAGAGAAGCUGGGGUUAGUCGAGGACCACCCCACUCUCCUCAGGCCUUACGCCCCCGCUUGCGGGCACCCUGCGCAUCCCCGCUUCUGGCCCAGCCCUGCCCCGGGGACGCGCUCUCCGGCCCGCGGGGAAGGAGCGGGUGAGGGGUCGGGAGCCCGGGUCCGCUUCAGUCGGGGGAGAGAAGAGGAGGAGGCUAUCUGCAGCUCAGACCCUGACUUAGUCCCUGCCUCGGAACCGGGGACCCGGGGCAGCUAGAGACGUCCAGAUGGGUGCAGAUAAAAGGAUUGAAUUGAGUGAAGAUUAAGACGGAGAAGAUGGCGCCUCUGCAGUGCAGCAAAGAAAAGCUGUGUGGAGGCUGCAGCCUGGUGAAAUCCACCCACCACUAGGUGUAUAACAAGUCCUCCCCAUUCAUCCAACUCUCGAACAUUCAGCUAACGCCUGUGCAAAAUGACUAUUUUCCUUUUCAUCUGAAGAUGUUGAGAAAUUAUUUGCUUGGCAGUUGAGGCAGAAAACGUAUUUCGCAUCAUUUGAGUUCCCAUUUGGUAUCUUAGCAUUUGUAACCUCUCUUUCCCCAUUUUUCCCCCUCCUUUUCCCCUAACUCAUGGGAUUUUCCAAAAGAGCAAUUUCUGGACAAAUGUUUUCCCGUAGUGUAACUGAGAUUAUACGGACUAUCACACCAUUUCAGCUGUUUAGUCCCUAAUUUACAGGGUCAUUGAACUUUUUCCCCCUCUGCCUUUUUCCUACAAGUGGCUCAGGAAUCACCUGGGGGCUUGUUAAGGCAGAUUGUUUUAAGAGUCGAAGCAUUUGGCUUUCCAUUUAAAAAUGCAUUUAAUUAAGAGAACUCUGGUUUUUCUGACAGUUAAAUUUACUCUUAUUUCAGUUCUCCUGAUUGUUUUAUUACACAUUAAAAACACAAGUAAUUAAAAGCAUAUCAUAUCUUUUAUAGUGGAGCCUUUUGCCAAAAUGUAAAUAUUUAACUUUUAUGAGCAGGAUUUUUUUCUUUGUAAAAGGAAGCAGCGUGCAGGCAAAUAUGAUUCAGAUUUCUUUUUUACCCUGUUUGAUUGCAUUUUUUGCUCUUUCUGCCAAACUUAGAUAUUUUCACUGGUUACUGUCACCUCUUUCCAAGGGUGGAGGUGAGAUUCACAUUAGUUCAUUUUGUGGAGCGUUAAUGGAAAGGUAGGCAGUUCACUCUGAUGAGGUUUGGGGGGCGGUUAUCAGGCUCAGUCUCUGUCCAUGGAAAAGAUGUAAUUAUGAGUUGACUAUCUUUUGCAGGGCUUAGAAAAUAGGUCUGCUACAAAUGGCUUGAAAAAAGACAAAUGAGGGCAAUAAUAAGGGGCUUCAGCUUCUGGGGGACACAUCAUUACCUGGGUUGAUGAUUUUCCCGGGUGUAGCGACAGAGCAUGAGUUUAAAAGGCCCCGACAUUUAUUUAUUUAAACUUAAAGUUUUGUUUUUUGCUUUUUGUGUUUUUUUUUUUUUUUCUUUCUUUCUUUUUUUUUUUAACCCUUGAUGUUGUGUAACCUCAUCACAAUUAUCUGCUUUGGUACUGGUGCUCAUUCAGUACUGGUGCUAAUUCAGAGACAAACCUCCUCACACUGGCUAGAGCUGCCCUAAUGGUAAUUGCCUCGGCACAGAAUAGCAAAGCUCAGAUUUGAUGGUGAGUGAAGGAGAGUCACUGUGUCUUGCUGAUCCCUGCGAAGCUGUGAUAACCAGCAGGGCACCAAAGCUGCUCUCUUGUCACCCUAACCAGCAGGUGCUUGAUAGGCACUUAGGAGCCUGUGCUAGUACUACCAAGAAGUACUCCAGAUAGAGUAUUCUUUCUGGUUGGGGUGGUAAAGAGGAACAUACAACUAAAUAGAUCCCAAGUAGGAAUGACUGAUUGGAAAAAAAGCGGGGGGCGGGGGGGGGAGUUGUCCAUUGAAUAUUGGCUUGAAGAAAAGCAGAGAGGUCAGAAACAGGCUCACAGACACAGAGAACAGAUUUGUGGUUUCCAAGGGGAGGGGGCAGGGAGAGAGAGAUUGAGAGUUUGGGACUAGCAGAUACAGACUAUUAUAUAAUGGCUAAACAACAAGAUCCCAUUGUAUAGCACAGGGAAUGGUAUUCAGUAUCCUAAUGCUAUUCAAUAAACCAUAAUGGAAAAGAAAAAGAAAAACGGAGAGGUUAUCUUUGUGGAAAAUGCUUUCUCCCUGUUGCUGGAGGAUCUCUAUUUUGAAUUACUGUUUAUGGCAUACUAGAGACAUUUAUACAGAUAUUUAUAUGAAGUGGCGAUUGUCAGUCAUUCUAGAAAUAAGCAGAGCUAUUGUGUGCCUUUCCUGUGGCCAUCAAACUACCCUUGAAGAUGUGGAAAAAUCCAUCAGAAAUGUACAUUCUGUUUCUGCACAUUUGCGAGGUGGGCACAUGUAUUACCUUAAGAGCUUGCAGAGCGUUUGCCAUUCGUAUCCUUCUUCAGUCUCUGCCUGGGUAUGUCAGUUACAAAUGCAAAGAUAAACCUUGUACGUGUACUUGAAAAAUAAAGCUUGAGGAUGUCAGCUUUGGGUUGACUUGCCUACGUCUUAUUUCUCCACACCCUUAUUCAUAUCCUUUGUACCCAGGAAGUUUGCAGAGUCAAUAGGACAGGCACAUGAUUAUAAAAGAAAACAGAAAGUGUUAAGUACCAGGAGGAAAGUACAGAUUAAGUGAAAUACUGAGUAAAAGUCUUAACCAUAUAAACAUCUGUAUGUAAGGAAUAAAGGAACAGUGGGGAUGAGGUGAUCCUGGAGAAUUUCUUGAUGGUUCCUUUCCAACCGGGUUUGUAUCCUGGGGAAGGGAGAUUAUAUCUUUGGGGUUUCAGUAUUUGUUUACAUACCUCUCUCCACCUUUCCCCUCCCAGGUAGACAGACAGACAGACAGACAGACACACACACACACACACACACACACACACACACACACGCACAUGCUUGCGCACUCCUCUUUGAAGGUAUGGGUGGAGACAGUGUGGGAUUUGAUUUUCCUGGUUUCUCCAUCUAUUCAUUCAGGACAAUUCGUAUUGAUUCUUUUUUUGAGCUAUGCCUAGUCCUGUAGCGCUGCAGAUAGUCUGGUGAACCAAACUGUCUUGCUACACGAAGCUUCCAGUCUUGUAGGAAAGACUCAGUAAACAGACCGGUGGAGGCGUGUGUUCAUGAAUUGCGACAGAUGCUAAGAUGGAAAAGAAGGGUGCAGGGGUACACUCCAGAAGGGAGCAGGGAAUUCCAAGUAAGGAUUUGAGGGGCCAGAGGUGAGGGGGUGAAAGCAGGGUCUGAGAGCUCUGAUACGGCAUCUUCAAUAGGGACCUUGAGUGAAGCAGUGAGUAUGUGAUGAAAAAAAGUGAUUUCACUGAGCAACAAUGAGGAGGGUGGGGAAAAUAAAAUAUUUCAGCUGUUUUUUUUUUUUUUUCUGUAGUUUUCUAUCUUUUUGUGUUUUACUUGACUAUGAAAUGGUUUCCUUUCAUAGUGGACCCUCACAUACAAACGUGAGUGGAAAUUGAUGGAGUGGGAAUUGAUACUUACACCAUGGUCUGCAAAUCCUUGGAAAUACUGUCACCCUGGGUCUCACAGCCAGUAUCCAGAUACACCCUCCUGAGUGGCUGGAGAACCAGAGGGUGGCCAGUGGAGGAGGCCAAAGUGAAGGGAUGAGUAGCCAGUUUAGGCCAAAAAAUGGCUAUUUCUUAGCUUUUAUUGUAGUUGUUAGUAAAAGGAAGGCAGAUGGUACCUGAACCCUCAAAAUGAAUUUGGAAAUGAAAGCCAUAGUGAAGGGCAAAAUGUUAUGUAACAAUUUCUUCAGUUUAAUGUGGAUAUUUUAAGAAAUAACCGUUUCAGUAGGGGGUUUUCUUUGAAAAAAAUAUUGGGUGAAUUUUCCUCUUCAGAUUAAUGGUUACUAGAUAUGCAUUACUGGUAUGUUUAGAAGUAGAACCCCAAACUGGAUUUGAAUGACUGCUCCAGGAAUAAAAUAAUUCAUUGAGGGGGAAAAAUAAAGCCUGUACAUGUUCAUAAACUAAUAGUUCUGUGAAAAAGGGAUGCUGAGUAGGUUAGUUAGUUGACUCUCAGAGUGUGAUACAGAGACUCAGUUUCACAUAUGAAAUCUUAGCAGAGAUGGGGACUAAGGCCAUUUUAGUUAAAUUUAUUUUGUGUGGCUACAUUUGGAAGAAACGUGAAAUACAGAUUUAACUUCAACAUUGCUAGGGUUAUAGUAUUUUAUGAAAGAAGCUAAUGAUUGAAAUAAGGAAAAUUUUGAAAGGCUUUUAAAAGCCAGCUCUAUGGAAAGUAGUGGACCAUUUACAGCCUUGAUUUCGAUACCAACGUGAUGUCAGGCCAGCAUGCAAAUCAUGGAGUUUCUCACUUGUUCAGGACUGGUAGCCUCUCACAUUGAUCAAGAGCCUGGGCUGGGCCAGGGUUGUCUGUGGGUAAAUCCUGAUUGUGUGCCUCACUUUUUUCCUUUGUAAAAUGAGUAUAAUCCUGUUUAUGGUUGUUGAAGAUUGAGUUACUAUAUAUGUAACAUGCUUGGAACAGUAUAUGAGUUAAUAUAUAUGUAACCUGAUGGCAUUUUAUAAGAACUACAUGUUAGUUACAAUUACUGUUUAUAAUGAUGAUGUAAAAUGGAUACAUUUAUUCUCAUACACUGUUGAAUGUUAAAAAAAAAAAUCUAUGUGAUAUUUCACUUAAUGACUAAUGCACUUACUGACCACUUAAGACUAUUGCAAGAUUCUGGCAAUUUGUUCAUGAUAAGAAUGAAAUAAUUUGAUUUACAUUUUUAAAAAUACAUCACAGAUAAUUUUUUUAAAUGUAUAUUGUAAAAUUUUGUUUAUUAAAUAUUCACAUGUAUUUUUAUUGGAGGGGUUUUUUGGAAAACCAUUAAGCCAAUUCCUGCUCAUAGGAAAACUCGAACAGUACAGAUGUAAAAGGCAUAAGCAGUUAUUACACGAAUGAGAAAGACGUAGUUUAAAUAUGUGCUAACUGGCAUCUUGCUACACACAUAUAAAAUUGAGCAAGUUUAUAUUCUGGCUCCAUUAUUAACUCAGCUGUUUGUUGACCAUCACCUGUGUGUGUGCACAACUAGAAAAAAGAAUAAACAAGUUUGGCUAAUCUAGGCAGAAAUGGAAGAUUUCAAAUGCCAGCAAAAGAAUUUUGGUCCUACCUAGAGAGGAACCUUGAAAUGAUCCUCACCAGAGGAUGAGGAAACUAAAGAGCAGACUGCUUAAGGAGGCAGCACCCCUGUAAGAAGUCAGUUUUCCAAAUAAAAUGAAGUCUGUUACCAAGCAGAUGAUGGUAAACUUUAUAGUGGUCUGCUCUGAAAUUUAAGAGUGAUCUACUGCUUAAUUAAAAGCAUACUUUUAAAAAUAAGUGGAGUUCCUACCGUGGCUCAGUGGUAAACAAACCCGACUAGUAUGCAUGAGGACUGGGGUUUUAUCCCUGCCCCUGCUCAGUGGGUUAAGGAUCCUGUGUCGCUGUGGCUGUGGUAUAGGCCGGAACCUGUAGCUCUGAUUCAGCCCUUAGCCUGGGAACUUCCAUAUGCCGAGGGUGUGACCCUAAAAAGACAAAAAA
This is a long non-coding RNA of Sus scrofa (pig), 5618 nucleotides long. RefSeq lists it as uncharacterized. NCBI's taxonomy places the organism in Eukaryota, Metazoa, Chordata, Mammalia, Artiodactyla, Suidae. The record is from RefSeq and is a predicted model, not a curated record.